Molecule: non-coding RNA, 73 nt
Organism: Podarcis lilfordi (Lilford's wall lizard)
Lineage: Eukaryota; Metazoa; Chordata; Lepidosauria; Squamata; Lacertidae
Source: the annotation of a GenBank genome assembly
GCUUGGAUAGCUCAGCUGGUGCAGCAUGAGACUCUUCAUCUCUGGGUUGUGGGUUCGAAUCCCACGUUGGGCA